Molecule: long non-coding RNA, 816 nt
Organism: Melitaea cinxia (Glanville fritillary)
Lineage: Eukaryota; Metazoa; Arthropoda; Insecta; Lepidoptera; Nymphalidae
Exons: 4
Source: RefSeq, a predicted model, not a curated record
UAAAAAGUGACAAAAAAUAAAAAAUUGAUAGAGUGGUAGAAUUUUCAGAGGGAAAUUUUAUUGUUUCGAAAUUUCCUUGCUCAAUUAGGUAAAAUUCAUUGCUUAAAUACAUUGAAAAUUAAAUCUUUUAAGUAUAACUAGUGUCUUAAAUUGCCUUCAAAUAAAAAACAACUUAUUAAGAUUGGACGCACACUUUUGGUUCUAUCGCUUUCACCAGUUAUGGAAAUGCUAUUUCCAGAAAAAUCUAUCCAUCGUUUGAGAUGUAGACGUUGAAAAUUGAAAGAAAACACGUAUCACAAGGAGAAGAAAUAAGAAAACAAAGAAAUACUGCCGUUUUAUUGAGAUUUACUGUAAACAUAUAUAGGGGUAGUUCACCCCCUUAACUUCAUUUGCGGUAAAAACGCAAAAACCCGUAUCUACUAUUUUUUUGCCCUCUUCAAAAUGCAAUUGAAACCAUCGAGAUAGGUGCUAUAGUUUUUUUGUUAUAACGAUUUUGUGAAUUUCAACCCCUAUAACUUUUUUCCUGUGCAACCCCCCGAUAUGAAACCAGUUGCAUUUUCCAUCGUUUAUCAUUAAGUUGAUUAUCGAUUUAAGUGCAUUCGCUUAUCUCGAGUGAAAAUAGGCGAAACCUGAAAACUACCCUCGGAGGUCUCAACUUUAGGGGAUAUUUUCACCCCUUGGAAACGUUUUUCCGCCGAUAAAAAAAAAUACGUGUCUCUUAGAUUUUGAUGUAGAAUAACAUAUUUCAAUUUAAUUGAAAUCGAAGGGGGUCAGCGGAAAGACUUUCCUUGUUAGUUAUUUAAGACAUGCUUAAAA